UACGGAGGGACCCAGCGUUGUUCGGAAUCACUGGGCUUAAAGGGUGCGUAGGCGGCUUAGUAAGUCAGGCGUGAAAGCCUUCGGCUUAACCGAAGAACUGCGUCUGAUACUGCUAGGCUUGAGGGUGGGAGGGGAGAGCGGAAUUCCAGGUGUAGCGGUGAAAUGCGUAGAUAUCUGGGAGAACGCCGGUGGCGAAGGCGGCUCUCUGGUCCACUUCUGACGCUGAGGCACGAAAGCUAGGGGAGCAAACGGG
Molecule: ribosomal RNA, 253 nt
Filed under: uncultured bacterium
Lineage: Bacteria
Description: partial 16S ribosomal RNA
Rfam family: Bacterial small subunit ribosomal RNA
Source: RNAcentral